UUUAGUUCUCAGUCUCAUUUUUGGAAGAUACUCCUUAGGUCUUUGAGGAUUAAACUUAGAACAUGCAAGAGAGAUAUGAAGCUCCUGGAACAAGUUCACUGAAGGGCUACUAAAAUCCUGAAGUGACUGGAGUAUCUCCUUCAUGAGGAAAGGAACCUGUUUAGCUUGAAGAAAAGAAUGCUUAGGAGGAUCUCAUCCAUAUGUAUAAAUACCUGAAGAGAGAGUGCAGUGAAGAUGGACCCAGGGUCUUUUCAGUGGUGCCCAGUGACAGGACAACAUCACAGACACAGACUAGCAGACAGCAAGUUUCCUCUGAACAUCAAGCAGUGCUUCUUUACUGUAUGGGUGACAGAGCAGUGGAACAGGUUGCCCAGAAAGGUUAUGGAUUUUCCUUCCUUGGAGAUAUUCAAAAUCUGGCUGGACAUGGUUCUAAACAACCUGCUCUGGAUGCCCCUACUUGAGCAGGAGGAUGGGAUUAGAUGACCUCUAGAGGCGUCCUCCAACCUCAACCAUUCUGUGAUCCUGUGAACAUAAUUACUGGAUAACAGCAGCUCUGAAAAGUAUUUGGAGAAAGGAGUCAUGUG
This 584-nucleotide long non-coding RNA is filed under the name Gallus gallus (chicken). RNAcentral's name for it is "lncRNA (ENSGALG00010006567.1)". The record is from RNAcentral. Lineage: Eukaryota; Metazoa; Chordata; Aves; Galliformes; Phasianidae.